GGCUAGUUCCUAUGAUACUGGGCUAUCAGAAUUUAACAUCCACAUUCAAGUCACUAAAGUCCCCCACUGCUAAAUUUGACUGGCUUUAA
This 89-nucleotide small RNA is filed under the name Macaca nemestrina (pig-tailed macaque). Its description in RNAcentral is "Y RNA (ENSMNEG00000014968.1)". The record is from RNAcentral. Lineage: Eukaryota; Metazoa; Chordata; Mammalia; Primates; Cercopithecidae.